Long non-coding RNA from Camelus dromedarius (Arabian camel), 795 nucleotides. RefSeq lists it as uncharacterized. The transcript has 3 exons. The record is from RefSeq and is a predicted model, not a curated record. NCBI's taxonomy places the organism in Eukaryota, Metazoa, Chordata, Mammalia, Artiodactyla, Camelidae.
CACUCUUAUCCUAAAGGGAGAAUGUUUGCGGUCACGUGUUUCCCUUGAGGACUAGGUCUUUGUUGUGUAAAAUGCUCCAGGAUGAUUUCAGAACGGUUCAUCUUCCCCUUCCCAUUCCACAGCCAUGAAGGGAUCGUUCUCAGAUUCACCAUGAGAUCCUGGUGGGGUUCCUUGAAGGAAAGUCCGUGAAGGUGUGCCCCCCUUCCAGGACUGAGGCCCCAGGACUUUCUCCUUGUCACGCGUCUAAGGCACAGAAGGUGAGGCAGCUGAGAUCAGACCAAGUGUUUUGUCAAUGUUACACCUCAGAAACAGCAGAGGCAGGAUUCCAACCCAUGCUUCAGAAGAUGUUCAACUUCCUCUUUAUCAGGUUAAGGUGACCUAAGUAGUACGACUGCCCCUUCGACCCCUUGGUCUUCAUCUCUGCAAACAACUUCGCUAUUGGAAGUUCCUACGGGCGGCUGCAAGUGGGGAUGCAGAAAAACAGGCUCCAGAGGGUCUUAGUGGGCAAACUCUGAUUCCUUUGUAAAAGUCAGGCUCAGUAGCAGGAAACAAGAAUCUAGCUUCAUGGCAAGAUCGCUCUGAUGGUGCUGAAGACUUCAAGCCUUGUGGCACAGUUUAAUUUAAUAUGGUAAUGAGAAAUAUGAGAAUUAAAAAGAAAAAAGAGCCAACUGUACAUUGGAGGGAAGAAAACCCUUUACGUAUAGAAAGAUGCUUAUUAAAUGUUCCUUUUGGUUAAACUCAAAGUACAGAUUUGCCUAAAGAACAUAGAGUUAUGGUUUUGGGGCCAUUAUAUUU